UACGGGGGGGGCAAGCGUUGUUCGGAAUUACUGGGCGUAAAGGGCUCGUAGGCGGCCAACUAAGUCAGACGUGAAAUCCCUCGGCUUAACCGGGGAACUGCGUCUGAUACUGGAUGGCUUGAGAUUGGGAGAGGGAUGCGGAAUUCCAGGUGUAGCGGUGAAAUGCGUAGAUAUCUGGAAGAACACCAAUGGCGAAGGCAGCUCGCUGGGACGGUACUGACGCUGAGGCGCGAAGGCGUGGGGAGCAAACAGG
RNAcentral lists this ribosomal RNA (253 nucleotides) under uncultured bacterium. RNAcentral describes it as "partial 16S ribosomal RNA". It matches the Rfam family "Bacterial small subunit ribosomal RNA", at positions 524 to 776 of the family's 1533-position model. The record is from RNAcentral.